This 406-nucleotide ribosomal RNA is filed under the name uncultured bacterium. Its description in RNAcentral is "partial 16S ribosomal RNA". It matches the Rfam family "Bacterial small subunit ribosomal RNA", at positions 30 to 526 of the family's 1533-position model. The record is from RNAcentral.
AUUGAACGCUGGCGGCAGGCUUAACACAUGCAAGUCGAGCGAGCGGCGGACGGGUGAGUAAUGUCUGGGAAACUGCCUGAUGGAGGGGGAUAACUACUGGAAACGGUAGCUAAUACCGCAUACCAUCAGAUGUGCCCAGAUGGGAUUAGCUAGUUGGUGGGGUAAAGGCUCACCUAGGCGCCGAUACCUAGCUGGUCUGAGAGGAUGACCAGCCACACGGGAACUGAGACACGGUCCAGACGCCUACGGUAGGCAGCAGUGGGGAAUAUUGCACAAUGGUCGAAAGCCUGAUGUAGCCAUGCCGCGUGUAUGAAGAAGGCUGUCGGGUUGUAAAGUACUUUCAGCGGGGAGGCGUUACCCGCAGAAGAAGCACCGGCGAACUCCGUGCCAGCCGCCGCGGUAAUAC